CCGAUAGCUGAGGAUGAGCUCGCGUCUGAUUAGCUAGUUGGAGGGGUAAAGGCCCACCAAGGCGACGAUCAGUAGCUGGUCUGAGAGGAUGAUCAGCCGAUACGACACUGGGACUGAGACACGGCCCAGACUCCUACGGGAGGCAGCAGUGGGGAAUUUUCCGCAAUGGGCGAAAGCCUGACCAAUGGAGCAAGACCGCGUGAGGGAAGACGGCCUACUGGUUGUAAACCUCUUAAGCGCUUGAUAGGGAAGAACACAAUGACGGUACCUAUCGAAUCAGCCUCGGCUAACUCCGUGCCAGCACGAUAGCGCCGCGGUAAUACGGAGGAGGCAAGCGUUAUCCGGAAUUAUUGGGCGUAACGAAUGAGCGUCCGUAGGUGGAUAUUCAAGUCAGUUGUUAAAGAAU
This 406-nucleotide ribosomal RNA is filed under the name uncultured Oscillatoria sp. RNAcentral describes it as "bacterial SSU rRNA". It matches the Rfam family "Bacterial small subunit ribosomal RNA", at positions 212 to 603 of the family's 1533-position model. Lineage: Bacteria; Bacillati; Cyanobacteriota; Cyanophyceae; Oscillatoriales; Oscillatoriaceae. The record is from RNAcentral.